Molecule: small RNA, 106 nt
Filed under: Marmota monax (woodchuck)
Lineage: Eukaryota; Metazoa; Chordata; Mammalia; Rodentia; Sciuridae
Source: RNAcentral
GCUGAGAGCAGUGGCACAUUCCUAUAAUCCCAGCUACUGGGAGGCUGAGGCAGGAGGAUUGCAAGUUUGAGGCCAGCCUGGGCAACUUGGCUAGACCCUGUCUCAA